AGUGAACGCUGGCGGUAGGCCUAACACAUGCAAGUCGAACGGCAGCACAGUAAGAGCUUGCUCUUACGGGUGGCGAGUGGCGGACGGGUGAGGAAUACAUCGGAAUCUACUUUUUCGUGGGGGAUAACGUAGGGAAACUUACGCUAAUACCGCAUACGACCUACGGGUGAAAGCAGGGGAUCUUCGGACCUUGCGCGAUUGAAUGAGCCGAUGUCGGAUUAGCUAGUUGGCGGGGUAAAGGCCCACCAAGGCGACGAUCCGUAGCUGGUCUGAGAGGAUGAUCGGCCACACUGGAGCGGAGACACGGUCCAGACUCCUACGGGAGGCAGCAGUGGGGAAUAUUGGACAAUGGGCGCAAGCCUGAUCCAGCCAUACCGCGUGGGUGAAGAAGGCCUUCGGGUUGUAAAGCCCUUUUGUUGGGAAAGAAAAGCAGCAGGUUAAUACCCCGCUGUUCUGACGGUACCCAAAGAAUAAGCACCGGCUAACUUCGUG
RNAcentral lists this ribosomal RNA (492 nucleotides) under uncultured bacterium. RNAcentral's name for it is "partial 16S ribosomal RNA". It matches the Rfam family "Bacterial small subunit ribosomal RNA", at positions 29 to 507 of the family's 1533-position model. The record is from RNAcentral.